RNAcentral lists this ribosomal RNA (253 nucleotides) under uncultured bacterium. RNAcentral's name for it is "partial 16S ribosomal RNA". It matches the Rfam family "Bacterial small subunit ribosomal RNA", at positions 524 to 776 of the family's 1533-position model. The record is from RNAcentral.
UACGUAGGGUGCAAGCGUUGUCCGGAAUUAUUGGGCGUAAAGCGUGCGUAGGUGGUUUGUUAAGUCUGAUGUGAAAUCCCCGGGCUCAACCUGGGAAUGGCAUUGGAUACUGGCAGGCUAGAGUGCGGUAGAGGGUGGUGGAAUUCCCGGUGUAGCAGUGAAAUGCGUAGAGAUCGGGAGGAACAUCUGUGGCGAAGGCGGCCACCUGGACCAGCACUGACACUGAGGCACGAAAGCGUGGGGAGCAAACAGG